CCUACGGGUGGCAGCAGUGGGGAAUAUUGGACAAUGGGCGCAAGCCUGAUCCAGCCAUGCCGCGUGAGUGACGAAGGUCUUCGGAUUGUAAAGCUCUUUUGCCAGGGACGAUAAUGACGGUACCUGGAGAAUAAGCCCCGGCUAACUUCGUGCCAGCAGCCGCGGUAAUACGAAGGGGGCUAGCGUUGUUCGGAAUUACUGGGCGUAAAGCGCACGUAGGCGGAUUUGUUAGUCAGGGGUGAAAUCCCGGGGCUCAACCUCGGAACUGCCUUUGAUACUGCAAGUCUCGAGUCCGGAAGAGGUGAGUGGAAUUCCUAGUGUAGAGGUGAAAUUCGUAGAUAUUAGGAAGAACACCAGUGGCGAAGGCGGCUCACUGGUCCGGUACUGACGCUGAGGUGCGAAAGCGUGGGGAGCAAACAGGAUUAGAUACCCUAGUAGUC
Molecule: ribosomal RNA, 440 nt
Filed under: uncultured bacterium
Lineage: Bacteria
Description: bacterial SSU rRNA
Rfam family: Bacterial small subunit ribosomal RNA
Source: RNAcentral